GAGCAGCUCAAAACAACAUAAAUUUAUUAUUACAAAGUAUCUGUAAGUCAAAACUCUGAGAGGCAGAAAUUAAGUUUUUGCAAGGCUGCUUUCCCUGCUGGAGCCUCUAAGGAAAUAUCCGCUUCUUAGCAUAUUCAGGGUAUUGGCUGAAUUUUGUUCCUCGAGGUUGUAGGACUCAGGUUCUCACUUCCUUUCUGUCAGCUGGGAGCAAAUUUUUGCUCCCAGGGGUUGUCUUCAUUUCUUCGCAUGCUUUCCAUUUAGCCCUUCCAGGUCGUCCAGGUCAAAUCUCUUUUACACUUCUAAACUCCAUUGUUUUAUUCCACUACACUCCUUCCUUUCCUUUAAGGAUUUAUGUGAUUAGACUGGGCCAACCAGAUAAUACAAUAUAAUCAUCUUAUUUUAAGAUCUAUAACCUUAUUUACAUUGGAAAAUCCAUUCUAGUUUAUCUAAUGUACACAUACAUUCUAGGGAUCAAGGCAUGGACAUCUUUUGAGAGCCACUCUGCUUAAUACAGGAUAUUUGAAUAUCGUUGGGAUUAACUUAUUUUAUAUAAAGUGGUCAAAUAUAAAGAAGACAGAUGAUUAUUUAUAGUUUCUAAGGCAAUAAUAAUAAAUAGUAUCCUAAAUACAGGUGAGUUAAUUGACAUAGAAGAGAAAGAGGAGUUCCUAUAAAGUUAUAGGAAGGAAGAAAGAAUGGAUGGUAAAAGUGGAGUCAAAAGGAUAAAAGAGGUUCAAGAUGGUAGGAGGUGAGCAAUAGAGCCUUAAGCUUCAGUGAGAAUGAAUAAAAUGAAAAUUGGAAGUUUUACUUGAUUUAGCAAGUCGAUGUCCUUGAAUACCUUUUUAAGGGGUGUGCAGACUGGAGAAAAGCAAUAGAAAACAAAUUGCAAAGGAUCAAGAAACUAAUGAGAAACUGAUCAUGAAUAUAUCUGAUAGGUUUUAAUGUUUUGGAUUGAAAGUGCAAGGAAAAAAACAUGUAGCUGGAGCUAGAGUGUCAUGCAGUUAAAGGACCCAAGUUGAAGGUAGUUAAGCAUCCUGAGAGAUCUUUUUGUGGUUCACAAGUGUGAUGAUUAGGUUUUCAGACUCAUGUGUGAGACAUGCCUUCCUCAAACCUUCUUAUGCUAUCAGCACAUAAUCUGGCUGACAUUAUAAAAAGAGAGAGAAUUCUGAGAAUAUUUUCAUGAUUGGAUAUGAGGUGAGAGAGAAAAAUACAUAUCAAAAAUUACUGUCAGAUUUCUGUUGCUCAUUGAGUGGAUGGUGCUACCAAGGCUUCACCAGGAAAUGGGAAGAGAACACCACAGUUGCAGAAAGAGGAUUAAUUUGAUGUUAUGCUUUGUUUCAUAGAUUACUAGUUACUGUGCCAAUAUUUAUGUUUCCAUUCAAUUUUACUUGCAGCACCAUAAUUUUGUGCUG
Molecule: long non-coding RNA, 1409 nt
Filed under: Homo sapiens (human)
Lineage: Eukaryota; Metazoa; Chordata; Mammalia; Primates; Hominidae
Description: HSALNT0044397
Rfam family: Small nucleolar RNA U13 (bases 1039-1142)
Source: RNAcentral